AACGAACGCUGGCGGCAUGCCUAACACAUGCAAGUCGAACGAGAUCCUCCGGGGUAUAGUGGCACACGGGUGUGUAACGCGUGGAAAUCUGCCUAUAGGUUCGGUAACACAGUUAGAAAUGACUUAUUAUACCGGAAUAUGAUGGUACGUCAAAAGAUUUAUCGCCUGAGGAUGAGCCCGCGUAUGAUUAGCUAGUUGGUGUGGUAAAGGCGCACCAAGGCGACGAUCCUUAGCUGGUCUGAGAGGAUGAUCAGCCACACUGGGACUGAGACACGGCCCAGACUCCUACGGGAGGCAGCAGUGGGGAAUAUUGGACAAUGGGCGCAAGCCUGAUCCAGCAAUGCCGCGUGAGUGAUGAAGGCCUUAGGGUUGUAAAGCUCUUUUACCCGGGAUGAUAAUGACAGUACCGGGAGAAUAAGCCCCGGCUAACUCCGUG
RNAcentral lists this ribosomal RNA (436 nucleotides) under uncultured bacterium. Its description in RNAcentral is "partial 16S ribosomal RNA". It matches the Rfam family "Bacterial small subunit ribosomal RNA", at positions 29 to 507 of the family's 1533-position model. The record is from RNAcentral.